GGGGAUAGCCUUUCGAAAGAAAGAUUAAUACCCGAUGGCAUAGUUCUUCCGCAUGGUGGAACUAUUAAAGAAUUUCGGUCAUCGAUGGGGAUGCGUUCCAUUAGGUUGUUGGCGGGGUAACGGCCCACCAAGCCUUCGAUGGAUAGGGGUUCUGAGAGGAAGGUCCCCCACAUUGGAACUGAGACACGGUCCAAACUCCUACGGGAGGCAGCAGUGAGGAAUAUUGGUCAAUGGACGAGAGUCUGAACCAGCCAAGUAGCGUGAAGGAUGACUGCCCUAUGGGUUGUAAACUUCUUUUAUACGGGAAUAAAGUGAGGCACGUGUGCCUUUUUGUAUGUACCGUAUGAAUAAGGAUCGGCUAACUCCGUGCCAGCAGCCGCGGUAAUACGGAGGAUCCGAGCGUUAUCCGGAUUUAUUGGGUUUAAAGGGAGCGUAGGCGGACGCUUAAGUCAGUUGUGAAAGUUUGCGGCUCAACCGUAAAAUUGCAGUUGAUACUGGGUGUCUUGAGUACAGUAGAGGCAGGCGGAAUUCGUGGUGUAGCGGUGAAAUGCUUAGAUAUCACGAAGAACUCCGAUUGCGAAGGCAGCUUGCUGGACUGUAACUGACGCUGAUGCUCGAAAGUGU
This 624-nucleotide ribosomal RNA is filed under the name uncultured bacterium. RNAcentral's name for it is "bacterial SSU rRNA". It matches the Rfam family "Bacterial small subunit ribosomal RNA", at positions 139 to 762 of the family's 1533-position model. The record is from RNAcentral.